GAUGAACGCUGGCGGCGUGCCUAAUACAUGCAAGUCGAGCGAACAGACGAGGAGCUUGCUCCUCUGACGUUAGCGGCGGACGGGUGAGUAACACGUGGAUAACCUACCUAUAAGACUGGGAUAACUUCGGGAAACCGGAGCUAAUACCGGAUAACAUGUUGAACCGCAUGGUUCAACAGUGAAAGACGGUUUUGCUGUCACUUAUAGAUGGAUCCGCGUCGCAUUAGCUAGUUGGUAAGGUAACGGCUUACCAAGGCAACGAUGCGUAGCCGACCUGAGAGGGUGAUCGGCUACACUGGAACUGAGACACGGUCCAGACUCCUACGGGAGGCAGCAGUAGGGAAUCUUCCGCAAUGGGCGAAAGCCUGACGGAGCAACGCCGCGUGAGUGAAGAAGGUCUUCGGAUCGUAAAACUCUGUUAUUAGGGAAGAACAAAUGUGUAAGUAACUAUGCACGUCUUGACGGUACCUAAUCAGAAAGCCACGGCUAACUACGUG
RNAcentral lists this ribosomal RNA (497 nucleotides) under uncultured bacterium. Its description in RNAcentral is "partial 16S ribosomal RNA". It matches the Rfam family "Bacterial small subunit ribosomal RNA", at positions 28 to 507 of the family's 1533-position model. The record is from RNAcentral.